Molecule: long non-coding RNA, 282 nt
Organism: Galeopterus variegatus (Sunda flying lemur)
Lineage: Eukaryota; Metazoa; Chordata; Mammalia; Dermoptera; Cynocephalidae
Exons: 3
Source: RefSeq, a predicted model, not a curated record
GCCCGGUUGACGCUCACUGGCCGGAUGAUGGCGGUGUCUCCAGAAGAAGUAGAAUUUGCCAAGCAGGCCAUGUUUUCAAGUGACAAUGACCAGCACCCACUGAGCACCUGCUCUCUGCCAGUGUUUUAUGCAUACAUCACUGCUCCCCACAUAGCCCUAUGAUCCGAGCACCAUCAACAUCACCCACAGGACAGACACCCAGGGAUGAGGAAGUGGCCUCGUCAGUAUGAAUGGUUCUUUAUGAAGAUGAGGAUAGAACAUAUCUGGCUUCAGAAAUGGUAU